CAGGAAAUAGUUUAAUAAAGAAUUUCAGCUUUGGGUGCUGAUGGUGGGGUUGUUACUUCUUUCCUGA
Molecule: transfer RNA, 67 nt
Filed under: Hystrix indica
Lineage: Eukaryota; Metazoa; Chordata; Mammalia; Rodentia; Hystricidae
Description: tRNA-Pro
Source: RNAcentral